GGAGAGGUGCCGGAGUGGUUGAUCGGGGCGGUCUCGAAAACCGUUGUAGCCAUUCAUGGUUACCGAGGGUUCGAAUCCCUCCCUCUCCG
Molecule: transfer RNA, 89 nt
Filed under: Pelolinea sp.
Lineage: Bacteria; Bacillati; Chloroflexota; Anaerolineae; Anaerolineales; Anaerolineaceae
Description: tRNA-Ser
Rfam family: tRNA
About the family: Transfer RNA (tRNA) molecules are approximately 80 nucleotides in length.
Source: RNAcentral